RNAcentral lists this ribosomal RNA (477 nucleotides) under uncultured Planctomycetales bacterium. RNAcentral describes it as "bacterial SSU rRNA". It matches the Rfam family "Bacterial small subunit ribosomal RNA", at positions 365 to 832 of the family's 1533-position model. The record is from RNAcentral. Lineage: Bacteria; Pseudomonadati; Planctomycetota; Planctomycetia; Planctomycetales.
UUCGCAAUGCCCGAAAGGGUGACGAAGCGACGCCGCGUGUGGGAAGAAGGCCUUCGGGUUGUAAACCACUGUCGGGAGUUAAGAAAUGUAAGGGUGCUAACAGCAUCCUUACUUGACUAAGGCUCCGGAGGAAGCCACGGCUAACUCUGUGCCAGCAGCCGCGGUAAUACAGAGGCGGCAAGCGUUGUUCGGAAUUAUUGGGCGUAAAGAGCACGUAGGCGGCCUUGCAAGUCAGUUGUGAAAUCCUUCUGCUUAACGGAAGAACAGCAGCUGAUACUACAGGGCUUGAGUGCGGGAGGGGAGAGUGGAACUUCUGGUGGAGCGGUGAAAUGCGUAGAUAUCAGAAGGAACGCCGGCGGCGAAAGCGGCUCUCUGGCCCGUAACUGACGCUGAGUGUGCGAAAGCUAGGGGAGCAAACGGGAUUAGAUACCCCGGUAGUCCUAGCCGUAAACGAUGGGCACUAAGUAGAGGGGUUUU